RNAcentral lists this ribosomal RNA (257 nucleotides) under uncultured bacterium. RNAcentral's name for it is "partial 16S ribosomal RNA". It matches the Rfam family "Bacterial small subunit ribosomal RNA", at positions 524 to 777 of the family's 1533-position model. The record is from RNAcentral.
UACGUAGGGUGCAAGCGUUAAUCGGAAUUACUGGGCGUAAAGCGUGCGCAGGCGGUUUGGUAAGACAGAUGUGAAAUCCCCGGGCUCAACCUGGGAAUUGCAUUUGUGACUGCCCGGCUAGAGUGUGUCAGAGGGGGGGUAGAAUUCCACGUGUAGCAGUGAAAUUCGUAGAUAUCGGGGAGGAACACCAGUGGCGAAGGCGGCGACCUGGGCCAUUCUUGACGCUGAGGCGCGAAAAGCUAGGGGAGCAAACGGGG